RNAcentral lists this long non-coding RNA (1407 nucleotides) under Cricetulus griseus (Chinese hamster). RNAcentral's name for it is "lncRNA (ENSCGRG00015039120.1)". The record is from RNAcentral. Lineage: Eukaryota; Metazoa; Chordata; Mammalia; Rodentia; Cricetidae.
GGGGUCAUUGCCUAAGACAACUGGGAAUACCAGAUAUUUACAUUACCAUUCAUCACAGCAGCAAAAUUACAGUUAUAAAGUAACAAUGAAAAUAAUUUUAUGGUUGUAGGUCACCACAACAUGAGGAACUUAAAGGGUUGCAGCCACUGGCAUAUAGCGUAAUCUUGUAGCUAGGAUGUUGAGAUACCAGCAACAGCCCACUGACCAUUGCAGCCUGCAUGGUGGAUAUUCUUAGAAUUAACAGCCGUCUACGUCAUCACCAGCCAUACAGAUGUGGAACCUGGAAAAAUGCAACGCUUCAAUAAAAUAAAUUGGUGCUCUGUAACUGUACCUGGGCCUCUCUGGAAUGCUUGGUAGAACUACAGCUACUUGAGUCCACUUCAGAUAACUGAUGCAGAAGGACUGAAGGUUGUCCCAGAAGGAGACUUACUGCAGUGAAGACAUGGGGACCAGCCGUUUUCUUCUUGUUCAUUUUGUACUUAAGAUUAAAAGUGUUCAACGCCCAUCUUGGCAGGAUUGAAGUAGUACUGGGUAUAAAAUAGACAAAUACAAAUUACACAUAUACUUAGAAUUAUGAGUGGGAUGAAUGCAGCUUGGGGGUCCCCAAAGCUGAAUGUGCAAUAUAAAUAUUUGGUUGGGUAGAAUUUAUUUAUUUUUUCCCUUGAAGCACUGUGACUCUUCCAGAAUGCAACAGUGACUGACUGAAUAUAUACAAUAUAGCAAUUUAUCAUAAAAGAAAUAAAUUAUUAGUGGAAAUUAACUUGUAAAAAACGAUUAUCUUAUCCUUGUAAAAUUCCUAUCACUUUAAAGAAUUGUCUAUCCUGAUUAAACUGAUAUUACAAGGGGGGGAACUUGAGACUAUUUUUUGGAGAUCUUACAAGCUGUAGUAAUGUUCCCCAAUAAACAAAUCACACCUUUUGUCUUGACUUCUGUUUUGCUUGUCCUCAAUGGGUUUUCCCAGCCCAGAGCAAAUCUGUGGCACUCAGAUGUCUGUAGCCCAACAGUGUUCAGAAAUCUUUGAAAUAAUCUUUCCCCAACAACCUAUACCAAAUAUACUUGGUGGGGUGGUAACUUUAGAUGUGAAACUAAGAGGGAGUGUGUAUAUUCUUGGUUUGCUUGAAACCAUUACCUUGGGAAGGCUUAAGUGACUGAAAGAAAGAUUUGAAUAUUAUGGGCACAUUAAGGAUUUGUCCAAGAAGAGUGUGGAUAGCCAGCUUCCUUCAGGGAUGAGCUAACUUUCUCUGCCUGGUAUAUUAGACCUGCAAUCAGCUGCCCUUUGCAGCUUUGAGUCCCUGGUCUUGAUGUGGUGUCUCAUUGCUCUGUCUAUGCUGCUGUCUUUCCUAUGCAAGGAUUCUUAUGUUAGCUGAAGCUCAGUUUCUGAGAGAAGCUUCUGCAUGUUAUUUCCAG